This 482-nucleotide ribosomal RNA is filed under the name uncultured soil bacterium. RNAcentral describes it as "bacterial SSU rRNA". It matches the Rfam family "Bacterial small subunit ribosomal RNA", at positions 26 to 530 of the family's 1533-position model. The record is from RNAcentral.
AGGACGAACGCUGGCGGCGUGCUUAACACAUGCAAGUCGAGCGGAAAGGCCCUUCGGGGUACUCGAGCGGCGAACGGGUGAGUAACACGUGAGUAAUCUGCCCCUAGCUCUGGGAUAGCUCCGGGAAACCGGGAUUAAUACCGGAUACGACCCCUUCGGACAUCUGAAGGGGUGGAAAGAUUUAUCGGUUAGGGAUGAGCUCGCGGCCUAUCAGCUUGUUGGUGGGGUAACGGCCCACCAAGGCGACGACGGGUAGCCGGCCUGAGAGGGCGACCGGCCACACUGGGACUGAGACACGGCCCAGACUCCUACGGGAGGCAGCAGUGGGGAAUAUUGCGCAAUGGGCGAAAGCCUGACGCAGCGACGCCGCGUGGGGGAUGAAGGCCUUCGGGUUGUAAACCUCUUUUCCCGGGGACGAUGAUGACGGUACUCGGGGAAUAAGUCACGGCUAACUACGUGCCAGCAGCCGCGGUAAUACGUAG